CGCGCUACACUGACAGAGCCAGCGAGUUUUUUUCCUUGGCCGGAAGGUCUGGGUAAUCUUGUGAAACUCUGUCGUGCUGGGGAUAGAGCAUUGCAAUUAUUGCUCUUCAACGAGGAAUUCCUAGUAAGCGUGAGUCAUCAGCUCGCGUUGAUUACGUCCCUGCCCUUUGUACACACCGCCCGUCGUUACUACCGAUUGAAUGGCUUAGUGAGGUCUUGGGAUCGGCUUCGGGGAGUCGGCAACGACACCCUGUCGCUGAAAACUUGAUCAAACUUGGUCAUUUAGAGGAAGUACAAGUCGUAACAAGGUUUCCGUAGGUGAACCUGCGGAAGGAUCAUU
This 339-nucleotide ribosomal RNA is filed under the name Polyporus melanopus. Its description in RNAcentral is "SSU rRNA". It matches the Rfam family "Eukaryotic small subunit ribosomal RNA", at positions 1494 to 1830 of the family's 1831-position model. RNAcentral also lists the same sequence under 1 other name. Lineage: Eukaryota; Fungi; Basidiomycota; Agaricomycetes; Polyporales; Polyporaceae. The record is from RNAcentral.